Long non-coding RNA from Acanthochromis polyacanthus (spiny chromis), 294 nucleotides. RefSeq lists it as uncharacterized. NCBI's taxonomy places the organism in Eukaryota, Metazoa, Chordata, Actinopteri, Pomacentridae. The record is from RefSeq and is a predicted model, not a curated record. The transcript has 2 exons.
AGCAGAGGAGACGGGUAUGGCUGCAGCCUGGAGACUCCUGCGUGAUGGCGCUCGUCUCAUGGUGUGGGCGUGUACAACAGCAAGUGUACAUGGUCAAAAAUCUAAAGCCGUGCUUUCAGUCAGCGAUGUCGUUACAGGUUAUGUUGGACGUGGGAGGUUGGGAGAGCUGCGGGGUGUUUAUUCUGAGGAUCCCCAUCCUGGAUUUUGCAGCCAGUUCUGCCAGCGUCAGUCUUAGUGUUUGCUUGUGUGUGCACUCAUGUGUAUCUGUGAAUAAAGAUGCAGAGAUAAAGGUCA